GAUGAACGCUGGCGGCGUGCCUAAUACAUGCAAGUCGAGCGAACGGACGAGAAGCUUGCUUCUCUGAUGUUAGCGGCGGACGGGUGAGUAACAUGUGGAUAACCUACCUAUAAGACUGGGAUAACUUCGGGAAACCGGAUCUAAUACCGGAUGAUUUUUUGAACCGCAUGGUUCACAAGUUAAAGACGGUCUUUCUUUCACUUAUAGAUUGAUACGCGCUGCAUUAGCUAGUUGGUAAGGUAACGGCUUACCAAGGCAACGAGGCAUAGCCGACCUGAACGGGUGGACGGACAGACGGGAAGUGAGACAGGGCAGAGACACCGAGAGGGGGAAGCAGUAGGGAAUCUUACGGAAGGGAGGAGAGGGUGACGGAGGAAAGCGGCGGGAGGGAUGAAGGUGUUAGGAUCGGAGAGCGCUGUAAGCAGGAGAGAUGAAAAGCGUAAGUAACUGUGAUCAUAAUGACGGUACCUAGACAAUAAGCCACGGCUAACUACGUG
This 497-nucleotide ribosomal RNA is filed under the name uncultured bacterium. RNAcentral describes it as "partial 16S ribosomal RNA". It matches the Rfam family "Bacterial small subunit ribosomal RNA", at positions 28 to 507 of the family's 1533-position model. The record is from RNAcentral.